RNAcentral lists this transfer RNA (86 nucleotides) under Alphaproteobacteria bacterium. RNAcentral's name for it is "tRNA-Leu". It matches the Rfam family "tRNA". From Rfam's summary of the family: Transfer RNA (tRNA) molecules are approximately 80 nucleotides in length. Their secondary structure includes four short double-helical elements and three loops (D, anti-codon, and T loops). Further hydrogen bonds mediate the characteristic L-shaped molecular structure. tRNAs have two regions of fundamental functional importance: the anti-codon, which is responsible for specific mRNA codon recognition, and the 3' end, to which the tRNAs corresponding amino acid is attached (by aminoacyl-tRNA synthetases). tRNAs cope with the degeneracy of the genetic code in two manners: having more than one tRNA (with a specific anti-codon) for a particular amino acid; and 'wobble' base-pairing, i.e. permitting non-standard base-pairing at the 3rd anti-codon position. Lineage: Bacteria; Pseudomonadati; Pseudomonadota; Alphaproteobacteria. The record is from RNAcentral.
GCGGCUGUGGCGGAAUGGUAGACGCGCAAGAUUCAGGUUCUUGUGGGGGCGACCCCGUGGAGGUUCAAGUCCUCUCAGCCGCACCA